RNAcentral lists this ribosomal RNA (465 nucleotides) under Vreelandella stevensii. Its description in RNAcentral is "partial 16S ribosomal RNA". It matches the Rfam family "Bacterial small subunit ribosomal RNA", at positions 338 to 795 of the family's 1533-position model. The record is from RNAcentral. Lineage: Bacteria; Pseudomonadati; Pseudomonadota; Gammaproteobacteria; Oceanospirillales; Halomonadaceae.
CCUACGGGGGGCAGCAGUGGGGAAUAUUGGACAAUGGGGGGAACCCUGAUCCAGCCAUGCCGCGUGUGUGAAGAAGGCCCUCGGGUUGUAAAGCACUUUCAGUGAGGAAGAACGCCUGGUGGUUAAUACCCAUCAGGAAAGACAUCACUCACAGAAGAAGCACCGGCUAACUCCGUGCCAGCAGCCGCGGUAAUACGGAGGGUGCGAGCGUUAAUCGGAAUUACUGGGCGUAAAGCGCGCGUAGGUGGCUUGAUAAGCCGGUUGUGAAAGCCCCGGGUUCAACCUGGGAACGGCAUCCGGAACUGUCAAGCUAGAGUGCAGGAGAGGAAGGUAGAAUUCCCGGUGUAGCGGUGAAAUGCGUAGAGAUCGGGAGGAAUACCAGUGGCGAAGGCGGCCUUCUGGACUGACACUGACACUGAGGUGCGAAAGCGUGGGUAGCAAACAGGAUUAGAUACCCUUGUAGUC